AUUCCAGCUCCAAUAGCGUAUAUUAAAGUUGUUGCAGUUAAAAAGCUCGUAGUUGAAUUUCUGGUGGGAGUGUACAGUCCGACACUGAGUGUUGGUUCUUGUGUGUCUCCGGCCAUCCUUGGAGUGAAUCUGUCUGGCAUUUAGUUGUUGGGCAGAGUAUCUCCAUCGUUUACUGUGAGGAAAGGAAAGUGUUCAAAGCAGGCUUACGCCGUUGAAUCUUUUAGCAUGGAAUAAUAAGAUAGGAUCUUGAUACUAUUUUGUUGGUUUGCGUGUCGAGAUAAUGAUUAACAGGGACAGUCAGGGGCACUCGUAUUCCGCCGAGAGAGGUGAAAUUCUCAGACCAGCGGAAGACGAACACUGCGAAAGCAUUUGCCAGGGAUGUUUUCAUCG
RNAcentral lists this ribosomal RNA (390 nucleotides) under Eucampia sp. Its description in RNAcentral is "partial small subunit ribosomal RNA". It matches the Rfam family "Eukaryotic small subunit ribosomal RNA", at positions 582 to 975 of the family's 1831-position model. The record is from RNAcentral. Lineage: Eukaryota; Bacillariophyta; Thalassiosirophyceae; Eucampiales; Eucampiaceae.